UACGGAGGGUGCAAGCGUUAAUCGGAAUUACUGGGCGUAAAGCGCACGCAGGUGGCUGAGUCAGUCGAUUGUGAAAGCCCUGGGCUUAACCUGGGAAUUGCAGUCGAUACUACUCAGCUAGAGUGCGGGAGAGGAAAGUGGAAUUCCUGGUGUAGCGGUGAAAUGCGUAGAUAUCAGGAGGAACACCGGUGGUGUAGACGGCUUUCUGGACCGUAACUGACGCUGAGACACGAAAGCGUGGGUAGCAAACAGG
This 253-nucleotide ribosomal RNA is filed under the name uncultured bacterium. Its description in RNAcentral is "partial 16S ribosomal RNA". It matches the Rfam family "Bacterial small subunit ribosomal RNA", at positions 524 to 776 of the family's 1533-position model. The record is from RNAcentral.